This 458-nucleotide ribosomal RNA is filed under the name uncultured microorganism. RNAcentral's name for it is "bacterial SSU rRNA". It matches the Rfam family "Bacterial small subunit ribosomal RNA", at positions 346 to 794 of the family's 1533-position model. The record is from RNAcentral.
GCGCACCAGUCGCGAAUAGUCUACAAUGGACGAAAGUCUGAUAGUGCGACGCCGUGUGUGCGAUUAAUUCCUUCGGGAUGUAAAGCACUUUUCUAUGAGAUAAAAGCUCUUUAGGUUAAUAGCUUAUUGAGACGGAUAUUAUUAUAGGAAUAAGCUCCGGCUAACUCCGUGCCAGCAGCCGCGGUAAUACGGAAGGAGCGAGCGUUGUCCGGAUUUACUAGGCGUAAAGGGCUAGUAGGCGACUAAUUAAGUUAUAUGUUAAAUCCCACGGCUCAACUGUGGUCCUGCAUGUAAUACUGGUUAGAUAGAGUACUGUAGAGGAAGGCAGAAUUCCUGGAGUAGCGGUGGAAUGCGCAGAUAUCAGGAAGAAUACCAAAAGCGAAGGCAGCCUUCUGGGCAGUUACUGACGCUGAAUAGCGAAGGUGUGGGUAGCGAACAGGAUUAGAUACCCGUGUAGU